GUGCUUGUUCAGCACAUAUGAUAAACUGGAAUCAAUACAGAGAAGAUUAGCUUGGCCCUGCAGAAGGAUGACUCACAAAUUCAUGAAUGUUUAACCUCCAUC
Molecule: small nuclear RNA, 102 nt
Filed under: Monopterus albus (swamp eel)
Lineage: Eukaryota; Metazoa; Chordata; Actinopteri; Synbranchiformes; Synbranchidae
Source: RNAcentral